RNAcentral lists this ribosomal RNA (430 nucleotides) under Triticum aestivum (bread wheat). Its description in RNAcentral is "partial small subunit ribosomal RNA". Lineage: Eukaryota; Viridiplantae; Streptophyta; Magnoliopsida; Poales; Poaceae. The record is from RNAcentral.
CGUCUUUGUAGUCAAUGAUGAUUCAUUGUUUAUGGUAUCGUCCAUCGUUAUUAGGAAUGUUCUUGUACUACCGAUUUUAGUACUUAUCUAUACUACGUUCCAGAAAUCUGAAUUUGAAAUUGUAUUGUGUCCAGACUUCUACCAUUACUCCUAAAUCAUAGUGAGGGUGUUCGUACUUCAUUUCAGUAACUCCGAACCCAUAGAAUUCCUCUCCAGCGGAAGCCCACGAGUGGGGUUGUCUGCCUCUCUAGCGUCUCCAGCGGAAGCCCACGAGUGGGGUUGUCUGCCUCUCUAGCGUCUCCAGCGGAAGCCCACGAGUGGGGUUGUCUGCCUCUCUAGCGUCUCCAGCGGAAGCCCACGAGUGGGGUUGUCUGCCUCUCUAGCGUCUCCAACGGAAACCCACGAGUGGGGUUUCCCUUCUCUCCAGCGG